AGCAGCCGCGGUAAUUCCAGCUCCAAUAGCGUAUAUUAAAGUUGUUGCAGUUAAAAAGCUCGUAGUUGAAUUUCGGGAUCAAAGGAUCGGUCAUGCCUUGGUAUGUACUGGUUUUAUUGGUUCUCACCUUCUAAAGAACCAUAAUGUCAUUCAUUUGAUGUUAUGGGGAAUUAGGACUGUUACCUUGAAAAAAUUAGAGUGUUUAAAGCAGGUUUACGCUUGAAUACAUUAGCAUGGAAUAAUGAAAUAGGACAUCAGAUUCUAUUUUGUUGGUUUCUAGGAUCGAUGUAAUGAUUAAUAGGGAUAGUUGGGGGCAUUAGUAUUCAAUUGUCAGAGGUGAAAUUCUUGGAUUUAUUGAAGACUAACUACUGCGAAAGCAUUUGCCAAGGAUGUUUUCAUUAAUCAAGAACGAAAGUUAGGGGAUCGGAAGACGAUCAGAUACCGUCGUAGUCUUAAACCAUAAACUAUAGCCGACUAGGGAUCGGAUGAUGUUAAUUUUNUAAUGACUCAUUCGGA
RNAcentral lists this ribosomal RNA (516 nucleotides) under uncultured Glomus. RNAcentral's name for it is "SSU rRNA". It matches the Rfam family "Eukaryotic small subunit ribosomal RNA", at positions 569 to 1084 of the family's 1831-position model. The record is from RNAcentral. Lineage: Eukaryota; Fungi; Glomeromycota; Glomeromycetes; Glomerales; Glomeraceae.